UAAUGUCACUUGAUCACUUCCAUUCCAUACCUUAUGUUUAGAACUUUAGAAGCGCGCACAGUCUCCACUCUCCUUAUUCAAAUUGAUAUUAUCUGAUCGAUUUCGCGUAACUUAGGGUUUUGCAUCGCAAUCCCCAAUUCACUUCCCAAUCAAAUUUCAAUUCCAAGUCAAAACAUGUCAAGCUCCAGGAACAAGUUGGAAAAUAAGGGAUUUUUCGCUUCAAUGUCGUCAAGCUUAUCAAUGUUCAGUAACGCCAUGCAUCGAUCCGUCAAUGGGUUAUUAGGUUAUGAGAAUUUGGAAGUUGUAAAUCCUGAAGGAGGUAAAGAUGAUGCAGAGGAAGAAGCACACAAAGGAAGGUGGAAGCAAGAGGAGAGAGAUAGUUACUGGAAAAUGAUGCAUAAGUAUAUUGGAUCUGAUGUAACAUCAAUGGUGACACUUCCAGUCAUAAUCUUUGAGCCUAUGACUAUGUUGCAGAAAAUGGCUGAGUUAAUGGAGUACUGCCACCUGUUGGAUCAGGCUAAUGAAUGCGAAGAUCCUUAUUUGCGAUUGGUUUAUGCGGCAUCUUGGGCAAUAUCUGUAUAUUAUGCAUUUCAGCGCACAUGGAAGCCUUUUAAUCCUAUUCUUGGUGAAACUUAUGAAAUGGUGAAUCAUAAUGGAAUUACUUUUCUUUCAGAGCAGGUGAGCCAUCAUCCUCCUAUGAGUGCUGGGCAUUGUGAAAAUGAGCAUUUUACAUAUGAUGUGACAUCCAAGCUGAAGACAAAAUUCUUAGGGAACUCCCUCGAUGUCUAUCCUGUUGGAAGGACACGCGUCACUCUUAAAAGAAGCGGUGUAGUGCUGGAUUUGGUUCCGCCACCUACUAAAGUGAACAACCUAAUUUUUGGUCGAACAUGGGUGGAUUCACCUGGAGAGAUGAUACUAACCAAUUUAACUACAGGAGAUAAAGUUGUGCUGUAUUUUCAGCCAUGUGGUUGGUUUGGGGCUGGUAGAUAUGAGGUGGAUGGUUAUGUAUACGAUGCUAAUGAGGAGCCUAAAUUGUUGAUGACCGGUAAAUGGAAUGAGUCAAUGAGUUAUCAACCCUGUGAUGCUGAAGGGGAACCUUUGCCUGGCACAGAACUGAAAGAGGUCUGGCAUCUGGCAGAUACCGCGAAAGAUGACAAAUUUCAAUAUACCUACUUUGCACAUAAGAUAAACAGUUUUGACACGGCACCAAAGAAGUUACUGGCUUCAGAUUCACGUUUACGGCCUGAUAGAUAUGCUCUUGAAAUGGGUGAUUUAUCUAAGUCUGGUACUGAAAAGAGCAGUUUGGAGGAGAGGCAGAGAGCAGAAAAAAGAAAUCGAGAAGCCAAGGGUGACCAGUUUUCUCCAAGAUGGUUCGAUCUAACCGAAGAGAUUGCAACUACCCCGUGGGGUGACAUGGAGGUUUACCAAUACAAUGGUAAAUAUACUGAACAUCGGGCAGCAAUAGAUAGCUUGGACAUUGUUGAGGUCGAAGAGUUCAAAACCAAGGAGUUUAACCCUUGGCAGUACAAUGAUUUUUCUGCUGCUUGAACCUUCAGGAAACACCUUGCUUUGGGCGCCAACCAAAACAAGGCCUUUCAGGAUCAAGUCUACUAAACUGCCCGGUCAAUUUUCAUAGUUGCAGCAUCCGGAAUAUAUUCACGCAGUUACAUCUAUAAACUGUUUUGAAUAUUUGGUUUGUAUUAAUUAACUAGAGCGAUAAUAGCCCUAUCUAUACAAGGAUUAAGAGGACUAAAUAAGGAAACUAAAUAUUCUAUGGAAUAAUUACAAAUCAUAAUAUUCUCUAAAAAUAUGCAUAAUAUAUUCCUAUGCUCCCCCUCAAGUUAGGUUGUCGGAUCACCGAUACCUAACUUGCACAAAGCAGCUUCAAAAGCUUCAACUGUGACUGCCUUUGUGAGAAUAUCAGCUAGUUGAUCUUUGGAUCGUACAAAUGGUUGCUUUAUAAAAUGUUUGUCUAUCUCCACAUGCUUUGUUCGAUCAUGUUGAACUGGGUUCUCUGAGAUGUUGAUGGCUGCUUGAUUAUCACAAAAUAAUUACAAGCUUCCUUUGGUGGGAAGUUCAAUUCGCACAAGAGUUUCUUGAGCCAUAAAAUCUCUGGUACUCCUUUGGCUAUUCCCCUAAACUCUGCUUCGGCACUUGAUAGAGCUAGUACCUUCUGUUUCUUACUUCUCCAGGUGACUAGGUUCCCUCCUACUAGGGUAAAGUACUCUGUGGUAGACUUUCUACUAUCCCGAUCUCCUACCCAGUCUGCAUUUGUGUAAGCCAUGAGAUCAAGAUGAUCAUUUUUCCUAAAGAAGACUCCUCUGCUACUAGUGCCCUUCAAAUAUCUAAGUGUCCUCAUUAUUGCCUCUGCUACUAGUGCCCUUCAAAUAUCUAAGUAUCCUCAUUAUUGCUUCCAUAUGUGGUACUUGUGGAAGAUGCAUGAAUCUACUAACUACCCCAACAUCAUAUGAAAUAUCAGGUCUAGUAUGGGAUAGGUAGAUGAGUUUUCCCACCAACUUUUGAUAUUGUUCUUUAUCGGCUAAUUUUCCAUCUUGUACUGUCUGAAGCCUAUGGUUGGCAACAAUUGGGUUUUCAGCUGGCUUACAAUCAAGCAUCCCAUUUUCUGCUAGGAGAUCAAGUAUGUACUUCUUUUGAUCGAUGGAGAUUUCUCGUUUUGACCUUAAAACUUCAAUCCCGAGGAAAUAUUUCAGGUUUCCUAGGUCUUUCAUUUCGAACUCCAUAAACAACUUCUUCAGAUUACUAAUCUCUUCUUCAUUGUUCCCAGUGAUAACCAUAUUGUCAACAUAGAUUAUCAAACAGGUAAUCCUUCCUUUCUCUUUAUUCAAGAACAAAGUGUGAUCAGAGUUGCUUUGCUUGUACCCAAAUUUCUUCAUUGUUGUAGUAAACCUACCAAACCAUGCUCGCGGAGAUUGUUUCAAACCAUACAACGUUAUUUUGAGUCUACACCCUUCUCUUGAUCCAUACUCAUCUGAGAACCCCGUUGGUGCUUUGAUAUAGACUUCUUCAAUUUCACCAUGGAGGAAGGCGUUUUUUACAUCGAAUUGGUAUUACAGUCAAUCUUUAUUUGCAGCUACUGAGAACAGGACUCUGAUUGUAUCAAUUUUGGCAACCGGGGAAAAAGUUUCUGAGUAGUCUACCCGGUAUGUCUGAGUAUACCCUUAAGCUACCAGUCGGGCUUUGUAUCUCUCGAUGUUCCUAUCGGCAUGAUAUUUGAUCGAGAACACCCAUUUACAGCCUACUGUUUUCUUCCCUUUGGGUAACUUAUAUUUCUCCCAUUUGUUGUUCCUUUUGAGGGCUGAUAUUUCAUCUUCCAUAGCCCUCUUCCAUUUCGGAUUCCGAAGUGCUUCUUCAUCGUUCCGGGGUAUAAAACUCGAAUACAAGGCGGCAUUAAAAGCAACAGCAGAUUGGAAAAGAUUAUUAACAUUAUCCUGAUUAAUGGGGUAUCGAGAUCGCUGUGCUUCAAACUCAGGGUCAUAUCUCUUUGGAGGAAUACCCCUCGUAUUCCUUGGGGGCAACUCAUAUUUGCGAGGUGACGCAACAUUAGAAACAUCAUUAGCAAUAUCAAACAAAGGCUUAGGAAUUACCUCUCCCUAGAUGCUUCAGACAUGACAAAAGUAAUCUGAGGAGGAGGAUGUAAUAUAUCUUCAGUGGCAACAGUUGUGAGAUUACCUAUUUGCUAUGUAGGGUCAUGAUCAAUUAUAGGAUCUAGAUUGAUAACAGUAGGAUAUACUAGCCAACUUAAGUCAUCACCACUCAUAGUCUCCCCCUGAGGACUAAGCUAGGGGUAGUAGUAUGAACUCUCAAAGAAGUCGCAGUCCAUGGUGGUAUAGAGUUUGUUGUGGAUUGAAUUAAAACAUCGAUAGCCUUUCUGAUUCACCCCAUACCCAAUAUGAGGUUCAAGUUUAUUCCGAGCUUGUUUGGGAAGGUGAACAUAUACAACCCAACCAAAUAUACAAGGAGGUAGGGAAUGAGAAGAUGGAAUAGUAGUAUGGGUUUGAAGUGUUUCCAAUGGAGUUUUGAAGUGGAGAGCUUUUGUGGGAAGGCGAUUAGUUAGGUAAGUAGCAGUGGCAACUUCUUCUGGCCAAAAAUGAGCUAGGACAUGAGCUUCAAACAUAAGUGCUCGGGUUAUCUCAAGGAGUAUGCGGUUUUUUCACUCAGCAACCCCGUUCUGUUGUGGAUUGUUUGGGCAAGUGGUCUGAUGAAUUAAGCCAUGAGUUGAGAUGAGGUGUUUCAUGUCCAAGUUUAUGUUUUCCCCCCAUUGUCUGACCGGAGAAUUUGAGGUUGAGCUUGGAAUUGAGUUAUGAGUAUGUUAUAUAAUUUCACAAAAACAUCGAAGACCUCAGAUUUAUGUUUCAAGAAGUACACCCAACUCAUGCGAGUACAAUCAUCCACAAACAAAAUAAAGUACGAAAGCCCAUGUGUAUUAGAUUCAGGAGCUAGACCCCAAACAUCAGAAUGAAUCAAAGCAAACGGUUUUAUACUGUGAGUCAGACUCGGAAAAUAAGUGUGCUUAUGAAUCUUUGCUAGGACACAUGCCUCACAAUCCAGAGGUGCAUUACAAUUAUUAAGAGAUCGGAAAAAGACAUUUCAAAUACCCCAAUGAAGGAUGACCAAGACGACUAUGCCACAUCCACAUUUGAUGAUCGGGUGACCCAUGAGCAAGCAAAGUGUAACCCUUUUGAGUCACCUCAUCCACAUAGUACAAGCCUCCCCUUUUAGUAUCACGACCGAUGAUCUUUCCUGUCUGAGCAUCCUAUAUAACACAAUCAGUCGAAGACAAAAGAACAGUGCAAUUAAGCUCUUUAGUUAAUUGACUAACAGAAAGUAAUUUAUGAGAAAGAUUAGGAACGAGGAGACAAUUUUUCAAAUGUAGAGAGGGAGAAAUAUCAGUAGUCCCAGCCUGGGUAGCAUUAACACGUUCCCGUUGGCCAUUUGAAUAUGCGUUUGGUGUGUGUAGGAAGGAGAAAUAAUAUCAGAGGGAUCAUAAGUCAUGGUGUCUGUGCCCAACAAUCAAAGAUCCAAGAGGAUUGAGUUGGUUUGCAAUGGGAGCCCAAACUUGCUGCAUUGGCUUUAAGGAAAUGGAAUGGGCUUGCCCAUGGGUUUGUUGUGGGUAAAUGGAAGGGUUUAGGAUAAAUAGAUCCGUGAAUGCCUCCAUAAACAAAAAGGCUGAUUUUAAUUUGCUUUUUCCUUCCCCUUGAGUCAAAUUUUCUCUCUCCUCCCUUAUACAUUUGAGUUGCUGGGCUAAAUCAUUUUCUUUGAAAAUGGUAAUUUCAUCUCUCUUAUCCCGAGCCAUUCUUCGUAACUCUUUUUCUCCUUCACCCACCACUUAAUUUUCUCUCUCCUUCCUUAUGUUUUCCAUUGUCUAUGGUUUCUCCUUCCAUGUUUUCAAUCCAGUUGGUGGGUAGGCAUUCGAAAACAAGGUAGCAUGAUGUGUCUUGCCACCGGUUCAGAUCUUCGGUACCUUGGAGGCGGCCAUCCAACUUGUUCUCUGAUUCAAAAGGCCAUUUCCCAUCCGGCAAAGGAAGAAAAUGGGUCGGGUUUUUUGUUGCUUUGAUUUUCUGGGUAUUUGGUCUUUCGAUAUUCUGGAUCUUGGUUUAGGGAUUUGGUUUUUAAUUUUGGGUAAUAAGACACCGGUGGUAGAUACCUCUUUGUCGGUGUUUAACCACUUCAGUUGCGACAAAGGGUUCGGUGAUGUAUGCCGGAUUCCAAUUUCCAUUAUAGGUGCAGCAUCUUCUAGACUUCAAAUUGCAUAAGUCAUAUGGUGAAUUCAUCCAAAGGAUGUUAUAAUCUCUCUUGUCAGACAAUUUGAAGCUGCGAGAAGUAGAUAGACAUGUAUUCUACAUUUGAGAUUUGUAAAUCCAUCAUCAUUAAGAAGAUUUCUUCAAACAAAAUCAACAGAAACACUUAUGAAGCAUUCCUCCCUGGUUUGCAUCCUCUGCCGUGUUCAUCCAUAAGUUUUGGAUGAUUUUUUGGUUAAUCUCGGGUGUUUUAAUAGUUUCGGAAACCAACUUUUUAUCUGUCCAAAUUAAUUAUUGCUUUUUAAUGGUAUUCUAGCUUUUGGUUGUGUAAAACAACUAAUGGGAAACGUUUCCUCUUGUUCAAUCUUUAUGUUGAUGGUCAAUGUUUAGUCAUUGUUUACCAUGA
Molecule: RNA transcript, 6165 nt
Organism: Amaranthus tricolor (Joseph's coat)
Lineage: Eukaryota; Viridiplantae; Streptophyta; Magnoliopsida; Caryophyllales; Amaranthaceae
Gene name: oxysterol-binding protein-related protein 3C-like
Exons: 12
Source: RefSeq, a predicted model, not a curated record